GCGGCCACGCCGUUAAACCCCAACUUCUGAAUGUUGACCUCGGAUCAGGUAGGAAUACCCGCUGAACUUAAGCAUAUC
This 78-nucleotide ribosomal RNA is filed under the name Fusarium oxysporum. RNAcentral's name for it is "partial 28S ribosomal RNA". The record is from RNAcentral. Lineage: Eukaryota; Fungi; Ascomycota; Sordariomycetes; Hypocreales; Nectriaceae.